GACGAACGCUGGCGGCGUGCUUAACACAUGCAAGUCGAACGGAAAGGCCCUGCUUUUGUGGGGUGCUCGAGUGGCGAACGGGUGAGUAACACGUGAGUAACCUGCCCUUGACUUUGGGAUAACUUCAGGAAACUGGGGCUAAUACCGGAUAGGAGCUCCUGCUGCAUGGUGGGGGUUGGAAAGUUUCGGCGGUUGGGGAUGGACUCGCGGCUUAUCAGCUUGUUGGUGGGGUAGUGGCUUACCAAGGCUUUGACGGGUAGCCGGCCUGAGAGGGUGACCGGCCACAUUGGGACUGAGAUACGGCCCAGACUCCUACGGGAGGCAGGAGUGGGGAAUAUUGCACAAUGGGCGGAAGCCGGAUGCAGCAACGCCGCGUGCGGGAUGACGGCCUUCGGGUUGUAAACCGCUUUCGCCUGUGACGAAGCGUGAGUGACGGUAAUGGGUAAAGAAGCACCGGCUAACUAC
Molecule: ribosomal RNA, 465 nt
Filed under: uncultured bacterium
Lineage: Bacteria
Description: partial 16S ribosomal RNA
Rfam family: Bacterial small subunit ribosomal RNA
Source: RNAcentral